RNAcentral lists this ribosomal RNA (460 nucleotides) under uncultured bacterium. RNAcentral's name for it is "partial 16S ribosomal RNA". It matches the Rfam family "Bacterial small subunit ribosomal RNA", at positions 338 to 795 of the family's 1533-position model. The record is from RNAcentral.
CCUACGGGAGGCUGCAGUGAGGAAUAUUGGUCAAUGGGCGUAAGCCUGAACCAGCCAAGUCGCGUGAGGGAUGAAGGUUCUAUGGAUCGUAAACCUCUUUUAUAGGGGAAUAAAGGUAUCCACGUGUGGAUAUUUGCAUGUACCCUAUGAAUAAGCAUCGGCUAACUCCGUGCCAGCAGCCGCGGUAAUACGGAGGAUGCGAGCGUUAUCCGGAUUUACUGGGCGUAAAGCGCUCGUAGGCGGUAUGUCAAGUCAAGGGUGAAAUCCCCGCGCUCAACGUGGGAACUGCCUUUGAAACUGGGAAACUGGAGUGUGUGAGAGGAGAGUGGAAUUCCAGGUGUAGGAGUGAAAUCCGUAGAUAUCUGGAGGAACAUCAGUGGCGAAGGCGACUAUCUGGCACAUAACUGACGCUGAGGAGCGAAAGCGUGGGUAGCAAACAGGAUUAGAUACCCGAGUAGUC